UACGUAGGGUGCAAGCGUUUAAUCGGAAUUACUGGGCGUAAAGCGUGCGCAGGCGGUUAUGUAAGACAGAUGUGAAAUGCCCGGGCUUAACCUGGGAACUGCAUUUGUGACUGCAUGGCUAGAGUUUGGCAGAGGGGGGUAGAAUUCCACGUGUAGCAGUGAAAUGCGUAGAUAUGUGGAGGAACACCGAUGGCGAAGGCAGCCCCCUGGGUCAAGACUGACGCUCAUGCACGAAAGGCGUGGGGAGCAAACGAGG
RNAcentral lists this ribosomal RNA (256 nucleotides) under uncultured bacterium. RNAcentral's name for it is "partial 16S ribosomal RNA". It matches the Rfam family "Bacterial small subunit ribosomal RNA", at positions 524 to 777 of the family's 1533-position model. The record is from RNAcentral.